CCGAGUUAUACAACUCAUCAACCCUGUGAACAUACCUAUAACGUUGCCUCGGCGGGAACAGACGGCCCCGUAACACGGGCCGCCCUCGCCAGAGGACCCCCUAACUCUGUUUCUAUAAUGUUUCUUCUGAGUAAACAAGCAAAUAAAUUA
This 150-nucleotide unclassified non-coding RNA is filed under the name soil metagenome. Its description in RNAcentral is "partial internal transcribed spacer 1". The record is from RNAcentral.